Molecule: ribosomal RNA, 1039 nt
Filed under: Lactiplantibacillus plantarum
Lineage: Bacteria; Bacillati; Bacillota; Bacilli; Lactobacillales; Lactobacillaceae
Description: bacterial SSU rRNA
Rfam family: Bacterial small subunit ribosomal RNA
Source: RNAcentral
UCGUACGAACUCUGGUAUUGAUUGGUGCUUGCAUCAUGAUUUACAUUUGAGUGAGUGGCGAACUGGUGAGUAACACGUGGGAAACCUGCCCAGAAGCGGGGGAUAACACCUGGAAACAGAUGCUAAUACCGCAUAACAACUUGGACCGCAUGGUCCGAGCUUGAAAGAUGGCUUCGGCUAUCACUUUUGGAUGGUCCCGCGGCGUAUUAGCUAGAUGGUGGGGUAACGGCUCACCAUGGCAAUGAUACGUAGCCGACCUGAGAGGGUAAUCGGCCACAUUGGGACUGAGACACGGCCCAAACUCCUACGGGAGGCAGCAGUAGGGAAUCUUCCACAAUGGACGAAAGUCUGAUGGAGCAACGCCGCGUGAGUGAAGAAGGGUUUCGGCUCGUAAAACUCUGUUGUUAAAGAAGAACAUAUCUGAGAGUAACUGUUCAGGUAUUGACGGUAUUUAACCAGAAAGCCACGGCUAACUACGUGCCAGCAGCCGCGGUAAUACGUAGGUGGCAAGCGUUGUCCGGAUUUAUUGGGCGUAAAGCGAGCGCAGGCGGUUUUUUAAGUCUGAUGUGAAAGCCUUCGGCUCAACCGAAGAAGUGCAUCGGAAACUGGGAAACUUGAGUGCAGAAGAGGACAGUGGAACUCCAUGUGUAGCGGUGAAAUGCGUAGAUAUAUGGAAGAACACCAGUGGCGAAGGCGGCUGUCUGGUCUGUAACUGACGCUGAGGCUCGAAAGUAUGGGUAGCAAACAGGAUUAGAUACCCUGGUAGUCCAUACCGUAACGAUGAAUGCUAAGUGUUGGAGGGUUUCCGCCCUUCAGUGCUGCAGCUAACGCAUUAAGCAUUCCGCCUGGGGAGUACGGCCGCAAGGCUGAAACUCAAAGGAAUUGACGGGGGCCCGCACAAGCGGUGGAGCAUGUGGUUUAAUUCGAAGCUACGCGAAGAACCUUACCAGGUCUUGACAUACUAUGCAAAUCUAGAGAUUAGACGUUCCCUUCGGGGACAUGGAUACAGGUGGUGCAUGUGUCGUCAGCUCGUGUCGUG